Molecule: ribosomal RNA, 776 nt
Filed under: uncultured Neocallimastigales
Lineage: Eukaryota; Fungi; Neocallimastigomycota; Neocallimastigomycetes; Neocallimastigales
Description: partial large subunit ribosomal RNA
Rfam family: Eukaryotic large subunit ribosomal RNA
Source: RNAcentral
AAGAGAGAGACAUGCGCGCAUAUCAAUAAGCGGAGGAAAAGAAACUAACUAGGAUUCCCUCAGUAACGGCGAGUGAAGCGGGAAGAGCUCAAAUUUGAAAUCUUCAAGGUUCUACCUUGACGAAUUGUAGUUUAAAGAAGUGUUUUCUGUUGGAGUUUUGGUAAAAGUUCUUUGGAAUAGGACAUCAUAGAGGGUGAGAAUCCCGUAUUUGACCAUUAUUUCCAGCUUUGUGAUACACUUUCAAAGAGUCGGAUUGUUUGGGAAUGCAGUCCAAAAUGGGUGGUAAAUUUCAUCUAAAGCUAAAUAUUGGCGAGAGACCGAUAGCGAACAAGUACCGUGAGGGAAAGAUGAAAAGAACUUUGAAAAGAGAGUUAAACAGUACGUGAAAUUGUCAAAAGGGAAGCGUUUGACACCAGUGUUGUUUUCUCGAAAAUCAAUUAAAAAAGGCAGGAUUUUGUGUUGUAUUGACUUUAUCAGCUUUCUGCACUCUUUUCUUGUCUUUUUUAAUGCACUUUUCGUUUAACAAGUCAACAUCAAUUUCUUUUGUUGUAAAAGGGUCAUUGGAAGGUGGCUUUCUUUUCGGAGAAAGUGUUUUAUAGCCUUUGGCCUCUGCAAUCGGAGAGAUUGAGGUCUGCAGCGUAGAUCCUUCGGGGUUAGAUACAUUAGUGCUAAGUUAUAGCCUUUCAUAGACAACUUGUUGACUAUGAUCAGUCAUGUAGCUUACUCGCUUAUGCUAUUUUACCUACGCUUAGGAUGUUGAUGUGAUACUGCGAGCA